Long non-coding RNA from Hyla sarda, 536 nucleotides. RefSeq lists it as uncharacterized. The record is from RefSeq and is a predicted model, not a curated record. The transcript has 3 exons. Lineage: Eukaryota; Metazoa; Chordata; Amphibia; Anura; Hylidae.
CGAUAGAAGCAAGAUCCGUGUUGUCAAGCAGAGUAACCCCAGUGGGACCCAUGGCCAGAUCUUACUGUAAUGGAGCUGGAUUUGGAUCCUCUACCUGUGUGGCUUAUGACCCGGACCGUAUGGGGAGUGGAUUCUAAGAAGUUAUUCCGUUACUGUAUAAUAAGGUGGUCCACAGAGGGAACAGUGAGUGACAACAUUAAAAUAAUGUAUACAAGUCAGUAGACAAGACUUGAUCCUACCUCUAAUGUUGCACACAUCGCAAAGAAAACUGUUUGCUUAAAAGGAGUGGUCAAAACUGUCAAAAGUGAGGAACAAGUAUUUAGGAUGACAUUUAUAACUGCAGACAAAGAUGGAGGAAGGUUCACGUUUUAAAACUGCAGGGAAAAGUGUAACGCUUGCAGCAAGAUAUGUAAGAAAACAAAAUCUGUUGUUGUAGAUAAAGAGAUCUAUUAUACGUGGACAAAAAGCAAGUGCUUCAUAUUUCAUCAAAGUAUUUCAAAGAGAAUCGCUUCUAGUGUCAAGCAAUUAAUCAUGCU